This 715-nucleotide non-coding RNA is filed under the name Pan troglodytes (chimpanzee). The record is from RNAcentral. Lineage: Eukaryota; Metazoa; Chordata; Mammalia; Primates; Hominidae.
AAACAGGACCUGGAACAUCCAGGGAGCAUCUGGGCUGCAGAGACACAGACUCACUUUGUCACCCAGGCUGGAGUGCAGUGGUGCAGUUAUAGCUCACUAUAGCCUCGACCUCCUGGACUCAAGUGAUCCUCCCACCUCAGUCUCCCGAGUAGUCAGGACUACAGGAUCUCACUCUGUCACCAAGGCUGGAGUGCAGCAGCAGAAUUUCAGCUCACUGCAACCUCGACUUGCUGGGUUCAAGGGAUCUCCCAAGUAGCUGGGACUACAGCUGCACACCAUCAUGCCUGGCUAAUUUUUUGUAGGGAUGGGGUUUUACCAUGCUGCCCAGGCUGGUCUUGAACUUCUGAGUUCAAGUGAUCCUCCCUCCUGAGCCUCCUAAAGUGCUGGGAUUACAGGUUUAAAAAAUAUCCUGGACUUUGGAAAAUAUUCUUAUAUAAAGAAGCAAAAAGAGGAUGGAAUAGACUUGUGCUAACACUGAAACUCCAGUCAAGUUGUAAACUGAAAAAGAACGUGUUGAAACAAGGAAUUGCCCCAUAGCCUUCACAGGCUGAAGUGCAGUGGUGCAAUCUCGGCUCACUGCAACCUCCACCUCCCAGGUUCAAGCAAUUCUCCUGCCUCAGCCUCCCGAGUAGCUGGAAUUACAGGCACAUGUCACCAUGCUCGGCUAACUUUCUGGUAUUUUUAGUAGAGACGGGGUUUCACCAUGUUGGCCAGG